Molecule: ribosomal RNA, 563 nt
Filed under: uncultured bacterium
Lineage: Bacteria
Description: bacterial SSU rRNA
Rfam family: Bacterial small subunit ribosomal RNA
Source: RNAcentral
ACGGGUGAGUAACACGUGGGCAACCUGCCCUUGAGACUGGGAUAACUUCGGGAAACCGGAGCUAAUACCGGAUAAUACAAGGAACCUCCUGGUUCCUUGUUGAAAGAUGGUUUCGGCUAUCACUUAAGGAUGGGCCCGCGGCGCAUUAGCUAGUUGGUGAGGUAACGGCUCACCAAGGCGACGAUGCGUAGCCGACCUGAGAGGGUGAUCGGCCACACUGGGACUGAGACACGGCCCAGACUCCUACGGGAGGCAGCAGUAGGGAAUCUUCCACAAUGGACGAAAGUCUGAUGGAGCAACGCCGCGUGAGUGAUGAAGGCCUUCGGGUCGUAAAGCUCUGUUGUUAGGGAAGAACAAGUGCGAGAGUAACUGCUCGCACCUUGACGGUACCUAUCCAGAAAGCCACGGCUAACUACGUGCCAGCAGCCGCGGUAAUACGUAGGUGGCAAGCGUUAUCCGGAAUUAUUGGGCGUAAAGCGCGCGCAGGUGGUUUCUUAAGUCUGAUGUGAAAGCCCACGGCUCAACCGUGGAGGGUCAUUGGAAACUGGGGAACUUGAGUGCAG